This 432-nucleotide ribosomal RNA is filed under the name uncultured organism. Its description in RNAcentral is "bacterial SSU rRNA". It matches the Rfam family "Bacterial small subunit ribosomal RNA", at positions 346 to 794 of the family's 1533-position model. The record is from RNAcentral.
GUGCACCAGUCGCGAAUUUUCACAAUGGGGAAACCCUGAUGGAGCGACGCCGCGUGGAGGAUGAAGGCCCUCGGGUCGUAAACUCCUGUCAUGCGGGAACAAGAAAGUGAUAGUACCGCAAGAGGAAGAGACGGCUAACUCUGUGCCAGCAGCCGCGGUAAUACAGAGGUCUCAAGCGUUAUUCGGAUUCAUUGGGCGUAAAGGGUGCGUAGGUGGCGAUGUAAGUCUGGUGUGAAAUCUCGGGGCUUAACCCCGAAACUGCAUUGGAUACUGCGUUGCUUGAGGAUUGUAGAGGAGAGUGGAAUUCACGGUGUAGCAGUGAAAUGCGUAGAUAUCGUGAGGAAGACCAGUUGCGAAGGCGACUCUCUGGGCAAUUCCUGACACUGAGGCACGAAGGCCAGGGGAGCAAACGGGAUUAGAUACCCCCGUAGU